UACAGAGGUCCCGAGCGUUGUUCGGAUUCACUGGGCGUAAAGGGCGCGUAGGCGGGAUGGCAAGUCGGUCGUGAAAUCCUUCGGCUCAACCGAAGAACGUCGAUCGAUACUGCUGUUCUUGAGGGUUGCAGAGGAGACUGGAAUUCCCGGUGUAGCGGUGAAAUGUGUAGAGAUCAUGAGGAAGACCAGUGGCGAAGGCGGGUCUCUGGACAGUUCCUGACACUGAGACACGAAGGCCAGGGGAGCAAACGGG
This 253-nucleotide ribosomal RNA is filed under the name uncultured bacterium. RNAcentral describes it as "partial 16S ribosomal RNA". It matches the Rfam family "Bacterial small subunit ribosomal RNA", at positions 524 to 776 of the family's 1533-position model. The record is from RNAcentral.